GCGCGCUUAGCUCAGUUGGUUAGAGCACCUCGUUUACACCGAGGGGGUCGAGGGUUCGAAUCCCCCAGCGCGCACCA
Molecule: transfer RNA, 77 nt
Filed under: Candidatus Uhrbacteria bacterium CG10_big_fil_rev_8_21_14_0_10_50_16
Lineage: Bacteria; Candidatus Uhriibacteriota
Description: tRNA-Val
Rfam family: tRNA
About the family: Transfer RNA (tRNA) molecules are approximately 80 nucleotides in length. Their secondary structure includes four short double-helical elements and three loops (D, anti-codon, and T loops).
Source: RNAcentral